UUCAACAACAAUUCCACAUCAACAUAUUUCAUUGCCAAAUCAUGUUUCAGCUCAACAUUAAAUUGGAAUUUAAGCUCAAUAGGGGGACCACAUUAAUUUAACUACAAACAAAACUAGCUUUUGAGCCAUUUGAGUCACACGGAUUUGAUGACACUCACACAUUUUUCACUAAAUCACAUUGCACACGAUUCUUCACUCACACAUUCCAUUCCCUUUGCCUCACACGAGCCUCACA
Molecule: long non-coding RNA, 235 nt
Filed under: Lathyrus oleraceus (garden pea)
Lineage: Eukaryota; Viridiplantae; Streptophyta; Magnoliopsida; Fabales; Fabaceae
Description: Pisum sativum (pea) long non-coding RNA (PSAT_LNC007996)
Source: RNAcentral